Molecule: long non-coding RNA, 236 nt
Filed under: Lathyrus oleraceus (garden pea)
Lineage: Eukaryota; Viridiplantae; Streptophyta; Magnoliopsida; Fabales; Fabaceae
Description: Pisum sativum (pea) long non-coding RNA (PSAT_LNC006356)
Source: RNAcentral
UUUUAAAUUUGGAAAUAAUUUUCGUUUAUCAUCUUUUUCUUCCCACCAUCCUAAAAUCAAGCAUAAAUCAUGCAAAUCCGCUUCGGGUUCCAUUGAUAACCAAACUGCUAGAGUCUGAUAUGACUUUGAUAGUCUGAUUUACCAAGCCGACGAAGAUGGUGAGGAAGAUUGUGAACUCCCUGAAGAGUUGUCCAGGUUGUUGCGGCAAGAAUCAAAGGUCAUUCAACCCCAUCAAG